Molecule: long non-coding RNA, 1064 nt
Filed under: Dromaius novaehollandiae (emu)
Lineage: Eukaryota; Metazoa; Chordata; Aves; Casuariiformes; Dromaiidae
Description: lncRNA (ENSDNVG00000002180.1)
Source: RNAcentral
CCCUGUAUUAAAGGAAAAUUUUUCAUCAGUGACAAAAAUUUCACCAACUAAAAAGGAGCCAACAUAGUAAACCCAUUUACUGCAUGACACACUAGCCACCAAAGAGGAAAGCACAGGGAAAGACUGUUAAGGGCAAACACUUCCCUGCAAGUUUUUGUAGCCACGUUUGGCAGCCAUUUGUAAGUGAAGAAGAGCUGGUACAGUAAUGAAUAUUGGAAAAAGGAGGGUAGUAUCAUCUUUCUCAUUUGUUUCAAGUGCUGUUUCAUAACAUACUUCUGUUCUAGUGUGCCAGUGACCUUUUUUAAGGACAUAUUUUUUAAUGUAAUUGAUCCUAGGUUAACUUUAUGAAAGCAUAUAUCAGUAAAGAAACAAGGUAUAUAGAUUUGGAGGGAGGAGGGGUGUUUAACCCUUCCAGUACUCUCAAGAAGGCCUGCUUUAGCUGCUAAGCUUUACUGCAUAGGUAUAUUGGCUUCAUCAGUGAAUGAAAUUAGUUCUAUCACUGUUAUAAAAUUCUAACUUUCAUAUUAAGCUCUUCGCCUCAUCUAAAAGGUCUGCAAGGUAAAAGGGGUCCUGACCACUCCCUUCUUCCCCUCUUUUUGGCCAAGAGAACAUUCCCUCAGUGAAGACACUAUGAAGAACAUACAAGGCUCUAUUGUAAGGACCUGCCUCCAAGCCCUACUGAGGAAGCCAAGCCAUGCUGACUUUGCCACUAAAAUAGGGAGGCCUUCACUGCUGAAAGAGUUAUUUCAGCUAAUUCAGAGAGACCAGUGUGCUUCAAGCUUAUCACUUUCACUGAGAAUGAAGACAGCUACAAAAUAAUUAUAGACCUGGUAGCUCACAAUGUAUUGACCCAGGAAGAUAGUCUCAUGUGGUAAGUGAUACAAAAUUUAAACACACUUGUAAGCAUCAAGGAAGUAUGCAGGGGCCAUCAAAAUUAAUUACGUUUGAGUGUAAAUUGUGGAAAAGCGAAAUCUCCUCAGGGAAGGAUUUGGGAAAGUGCAAAAUUCUUCAGGGAACCAUUGAAAUCUGCAUUGCAAUAGCUUGUUUCCUUAAGUUUCCUUAGG